CACCAUUUUUAUCUUCACCAGCCUGUUGAAUGCAUGGAAACUGAGCAAAGGAGCAGUGGAAACUCUUACGUGUUCAUCCUCAAGUUCUAUCCAAAUCGGUUCAACCACCACAACCUUUCAAUUUGGAGAUGGCAAGACAACCUAUAAUACGCUGCUGUCAUGUACAUGGACUUUCACAGCUUCUGAUCUGUCUGCAAGGCUUGUCAUUGGACAACGAUUAAAGUGUGGGGAUGGCGACGAACUAUCAUUACGCGACGGAGGUGGUGUACCUACAACAAUUUCUUGCUGUGUUGACUGCACAAAAACUCCAAAAGUAACAGGACCUACAGCAACGAUCGGCUUCACCUCAGACGGGACUCGAAAUCCCAAUGACAUAGGAUUCUAUCUUGACAUAUUUGCUGGGAAAG
Long non-coding RNA from Saccostrea echinata, 407 nucleotides. RefSeq lists it as uncharacterized. The record is from RefSeq and is a predicted model, not a curated record. The transcript has 4 exons. NCBI's taxonomy places the organism in Eukaryota, Metazoa, Mollusca, Bivalvia, Ostreida, Ostreidae.